AAAAGAUGAGUGAGUACAAAGAUGUUUUAAUACAUAAGUGUUGACUUAGAGUACAAAAGACAUGGAUAGAAACUAUCCAAAAGUCGAACAGUCAACAUUGCAUUACAUGGCCUACAAGAUAGAUCCUAGACAAAAACUAAAGAAAAGACUGACUACACUGGAUCUAGUAGAUAUUAUGACUGGAUGGAUCAGAGUCUAAUGAAUCAAAGAUGGGGUGAGGAGAUGAAGGAUCACGACCAUGGGCUUGACCUCGACCGCGUCUACCUCUGCCAUGGGUAGAGGUGCCAGCACGAGUGGAGGGGUGAGAGGAUCCUGAAGGCUGAGAAGCAAAGGACUAUGCUACAAGUGAUAGUCUGA
This 357-nucleotide long non-coding RNA is filed under the name Elaeis guineensis (African oil palm). Its description in RNAcentral is "long non-coding RNA (EGUI_LNC040353)". Lineage: Eukaryota; Viridiplantae; Streptophyta; Magnoliopsida; Arecales; Arecaceae. The record is from RNAcentral.